GCCGAAGUGGUGGAAUUGGUAGACACGCUAGGUUCAGGGUCUAGUGAGGGCAACCUUGUGGGAGUUCGACUCUCCCCUUCGGCACCA
Molecule: transfer RNA, 87 nt
Filed under: Desulfovibrio ferrophilus
Lineage: Bacteria; Pseudomonadati; Thermodesulfobacteriota; Desulfovibrionia; Desulfovibrionales; Desulfovibrionaceae
Description: tRNA-Leu
Rfam family: tRNA
About the family: Transfer RNA (tRNA) molecules are approximately 80 nucleotides in length. Their secondary structure includes four short double-helical elements and three loops (D, anti-codon, and T loops). Further hydrogen bonds mediate the characteristic L-shaped molecular structure. tRNAs have two regions of fundamental functional importance: the anti-codon, which is responsible for specific mRNA codon recognition, and the 3' end, to which the tRNAs corresponding amino acid is attached (by aminoacyl-tRNA synthetases). tRNAs cope with the degeneracy of the genetic code in two manners: having more than one tRNA (with a specific anti-codon) for a particular amino acid; and 'wobble' base-pairing, i.e. permitting non-standard base-pairing at the 3rd anti-codon position.
Source: RNAcentral